UUAAAUGGCUGCAGUAUUUUGACUGUACUAAGGUAGCAUAAUCAUUAGUUUUUUAAUUGAAAGCUAGAAUGAAGGGUUGGAUGAAAAAUUAUCUUUCUAAUUUAAAUUUAAUUAGAAUUUUAUUUUUAAGUAAAAAAGCUUAAAUUAAGUUAAAAGACGAGAAGACCCUAUAGAGUUUUAUAAACUAAUAAAAUUUAAUAUAAAUUUUUUAAUUUAUUUAAUUGGGGCGAUUAAAAAAUUUAAAUAACUUUUUUUUAUUAUUAUAUUAAUUAAUAAUUAUUUGAUCCAAAUAUUUUGAUUAUAAGAUUAAAUUACCUUAGGGAUAACAGCGUUAUAUUACUUUAGAGUU
This 349-nucleotide ribosomal RNA is filed under the name Phygasia gracilicornis. Its description in RNAcentral is "partial 16S ribosomal RNA". Lineage: Eukaryota; Metazoa; Arthropoda; Insecta; Coleoptera; Chrysomelidae. The record is from RNAcentral.